This 219-nucleotide long non-coding RNA is filed under the name Elaeis guineensis (African oil palm). RNAcentral's name for it is "long non-coding RNA (EGUI_LNC062756)". The record is from RNAcentral. Lineage: Eukaryota; Viridiplantae; Streptophyta; Magnoliopsida; Arecales; Arecaceae.
GAAAUAUCAGUGGUUGGACCAUAAGAAGAUCCUCAAUCAGAAGUACCUAAAGAUGAGGUACAUCUAUAAUACACACCUUCUCUCUGAAAAUUAGAUAGAGUGCAUCAAGCACCUCUGAGAUAUGAUUUUAUCAUUGAGAAUGACAAUUUGAUUAAUAUCAUUUAAGAUGAUGAUCCACUGACCUAUUCGGAAGCUGUCAUGAGUAGAGACUUGGACAGA